GUACACGCUGUGACUAGCAUAUCAAUAAGCGGAGGAAAAGAAACUAACAAGGAUUCCCUCAGUAACGGCGAGUGAAGCGGGAAGAGCUCAAAUUUGAAAUCUUCAAGGUUUUACCUUGACGAAUUGUAGUUUAAAGAAGUGUUUUCUGCUGAAGUUUUGGUAAAAGUUCUUUGGAAUAGGACAUCAUAGAGGGUGAGAAUCCCGUAUUUGACCAUUAUUUUCAGCUUUGUGAUACACUUUCAAAGAGUCGGAUUGUUUGGGAAUGCAGUCCAAAAUGGGUGGUAAAUUUCAUCUAAAGCUAAAUAUUGGCGAGAGACCGAUAGCGAACAAGUACCGUGAGGGAAAGAUGAAAAGAACUUUGAAAAGAGAGUUAAACAGUACGUGAAAUUGUCAAAAGGGAAGCGUUUGACACCAGUGUUGCUUUCUCGAAAAUCAAUUAAAAAUGGCCCGAUUUUGUAUUGCUGAGACCUUAAAAGCUCACUGUACAUUUUUCGUGUCUUUUUUAAUGCACUUUUCGUUUAACAAGUCUACAUCAGUUUCUUUUGUUGUAAAAGGGUCAUUGGAAGGUGGCUUUCUUUUCGGAGGAAGUGUUUAUAGCCUUUGGCCUCUGCAAUCGAAGAGACUGAGGUCUGCAGCGUAGACUCUUCGGGGUUAGAUACAUUUGUGCUAAGUUAUAGCUUUUUAUAGACAACUUGUUGACUAUAAUUAGUCUUGUAGCUUACUCGCUUAUGCUAUUUUACCUACGCUUAGGAUGUUGAGUAGCGACAUACGCAC
RNAcentral lists this ribosomal RNA (774 nucleotides) under uncultured Neocallimastigales. RNAcentral describes it as "partial large subunit ribosomal RNA". It matches the Rfam family "Eukaryotic large subunit ribosomal RNA", at positions 22 to 649 of the family's 3401-position model. The record is from RNAcentral. Lineage: Eukaryota; Fungi; Neocallimastigomycota; Neocallimastigomycetes; Neocallimastigales.